AUUGAACGCUGGCGGCAUGCCUUACACAUGCAAGUCGAACGGCAGCACGGGAGCUUGCUCCUGGUGGCGAGUGGCGAACGGGUGAGUAAUACAUCGGAACGUACCCAGGAGGUGGGGGAUAACGUAGCGAAAGUUACGCUAAUACCGCAUAUUCUGUGAGCAGGAAAGCGGGGGAUCGCAAGACCUCGCGCUCUUGGAGCGGCCGAUGUCGGAUUAGCUAGUUGGUGAGGUAAAAGCUCACCAAGGCGACGAUCCGUAGCAGGUCUGAGAGGAUGAUCUGCCACACUGGGACUGAGACACGGCCCAGACUCCUACGGGAGGCAGCAGUGGGGAAUUUUGGACAAUGGGGGCAACCCUGAUCCAGCCAUGCCGCGUGAGUGAAGAAGGCCUCGG
This 393-nucleotide ribosomal RNA is filed under the name uncultured bacterium. RNAcentral's name for it is "bacterial SSU rRNA". It matches the Rfam family "Bacterial small subunit ribosomal RNA", at positions 30 to 420 of the family's 1533-position model. The record is from RNAcentral.